Long non-coding RNA from Cornus florida, 2025 nucleotides. RefSeq lists it as uncharacterized. The record is from RefSeq and is a predicted model, not a curated record. Lineage: Eukaryota; Viridiplantae; Streptophyta; Magnoliopsida; Cornales; Cornaceae. The transcript has 2 exons.
AUGACUGUAAUACCCUUAUGUCAAUUAAUAUGUUAAAAUGUAGCCAUUUAAAAUUAUCGUUUUGUCUAUUUUUAGCACCUCAUCUUUCUCCUCUCUUCUUCCUCUCAGUUUUCUCUCUCCUCUCCACCUCAUCUUUUCCACCCAUCGCUGCAUCUGUGAGCUUCAGUUUUGGUCGUCGAUGGAGUACGUCGAAACCGAAGUCACCGCCGAAUAUAACUCAACCCCUUCAGCAAAUUCACCGUCAUCAUCCUCAUCACCACCUGAUACCCAACACACCAAGCCAAGAUCAUCUAAAGAACCCAACCUAUCAUAAUCUCCACAUUUGACAGACAACGACAUCAGCUCUCUGGGCUCAAUCUCUCCGGUGUCCUUGCCUCCCACAUGGGUCACCUUUGCCAAUCAAUUAUACGGUCCACUGCUGCCCAAACAUCAUCACCGAGUUCCUCGUUCGCCGGAAGCUUACUGUAACAGGCAAACUCAACCCCUUCUUCCAAGUUCAUCAUCACCAACCACUCGCCCACACGCCAGAUGCUCCUGUGAGUAAAUCUGACUCGCCCUUCACGCGCCCUCGCGCUCCUUCUUCUACAACGUUUUUCCGGUGCUCUUCCAUCUGUCGCCAAUGUUAACCACCUCCUUCACGAAACCGUCCCAAGUUGCAGACAAGCUUCCGAUGAUCACCACCUACUGCCGGUGCUUACCACCAUCUUGUGUGACCCAGCCGGAAAAUCAUCAUCUCUUCACGCUCUGUCUUACCCGGAUUCGCGUAGUGGGUUUGCUAGUGUUGCGAAACAUCACUUCUCUCUCCGAAGGAUGUCGCCUGUAACGGUGGUGGGGGUGAUGGCCUGUAAUGGUGGUGGGAGGAAUGGCUCAUUGGUGGAGAUGAGACAGAAGGAAGAGAGAAGAAGAUGAAAUUAUGUAAUAUCGGAUUUUCAGAUUUAUUUUUUUGCCAAAAAGUGAUUAAAGGGCUUAUUUGCAUAUUUUUUAAAUAUUAUAGACUGAAAUGCAUAUUUUUAAAAAAGAUGGACUAAUAUUUGUUCACAUAAUCUAUAUUUUAGGAGGAUUUUUUGCACUUAACCCUUUAUAAAGUGAGUGGUUAUAGAUUUUUUUUUCCAUUUAUAACUAAAAAUAUUAAAAUAUAUAAUAUCAUUAUUAUUGUUGACAUUUUUGCCAUUGUGCUCUCACAAUACUUUAAUUUUUAUUUCUUUCCAUUCUCUCAGGAUAUGUUGAUAGAGAUUUAUAUAUAAUUAUAUUUUUAUAUCUUAUCUUAUGUUAUGCAAUUGUUAGUGUAAUGUUUGUAAUUUAUUUACAUAUGUAUAUAUUUGUAGUGGAAAAAAAAAAAUUUAAAAGAAAAAGAUUUUUCAUUUGUGCUGGGACCCACCGCUAACAUUAAUUUGUGGCCAAGAGACCAAUUUGGUCUCAUUUCUUCUCUCCCCGUAAGCUCUCUCUUCCCCUCACUUUUUUUUUUUUUUUUUUUUCUCUUUUUCUUUUGAUCUCAAACUUCACUCUUCAAUUACUUUAUCAAUUGUUGAAAUUUUUGGGUGCCGUUUGCGGCAAAUCGGAGAGCACGGCGCGAUCCACACGUUGAUAUAAGCAAUUCCUCAUUUGGUGCACUUUAGGGAUUUCGAAUUUUUAGACCCAUUUGAGAGUUUUUGUAUCUAAGUGAGGUCACGGGAAGGAAGUAGCAGAUGACGUUCCUCUAUAGGUUUGAAUGAGUUAGUGGACUAUUUUAUUAUCUUUUAUAUUUGAGAUUUCAUUUGUUUUGUAUAAGUUUUGGGAUGACACGUACAUUAUGUGUCGGUUUUAGAACUUACCAUAGUGCCUUUAGAUGAUCUCGGAUUCGGGUAAGAACCCGAUUAGUGAUUCAAACCCUCGGGUUCGGGUCGUUACAGUUAGGCAGGAAGAUUGUCCGAUUUUUUUUUUUAGUUUCAUAUACAUGUAGUUAUGCGUUCGUCUAACUUCACAGUGAGAAAUAAAAGAUAAGUGAAGAGGGACGGAACUAAUGAAGGUCCCCUGAGUUGGCCCGCA